Molecule: non-coding RNA, 30 nt
Filed under: Mus musculus (house mouse)
Lineage: Eukaryota; Metazoa; Chordata; Mammalia; Rodentia; Muridae
Source: RNAcentral
UGACAUCCAGCUCUUGACUGCAGCUAAUGC